UUGGGAAUCUUGGACAAUGGGGGAAACCCUGAUCCAGCCAUGCCGCGUGAGUGAUGAAGGCCUUCGGGUUGUAAAACUCUUUCGACGGGGACGAUAAUGACGGUACCCGUAGAAGAAGCUCCGGCUAACUUCGUGCCAGCAGCCGCGGUAAUACGAAGGGGGCUAGCGUUGUUCGGAAUUACUGGGCGUAAAGCGCGCGCAGGCGGUCUUCCAAGUCAGUGGUGAAAGCCCGGAGCUCAACUCCGGAACUGCCAUUGAAACUGUAAGACUUGAGGAUGAGAGAGGUGAGUGGAAUUCCCAGUGUAGAGGUGAAAUUCGUAGAUAUUGGGAAGAACACCGGUGGCGAAGGCGGCUCACUGGCUCAUAUCUGACGCUCAGGCGCGACAGCGUGGGGAUCAAACAGGAUUAGAUACCCCGUAGUCC
This 423-nucleotide ribosomal RNA is filed under the name uncultured bacterium. RNAcentral's name for it is "bacterial SSU rRNA". It matches the Rfam family "Bacterial small subunit ribosomal RNA", at positions 355 to 796 of the family's 1533-position model. The record is from RNAcentral.